This 811-nucleotide ribosomal RNA is filed under the name uncultured bacterium. Its description in RNAcentral is "bacterial SSU rRNA". It matches the Rfam family "Bacterial small subunit ribosomal RNA", at positions 8 to 796 of the family's 1533-position model. The record is from RNAcentral.
AGAGUUUGAUCCUGGCUCAGAACGAACGCUGGCGGCGUGCCUAACACAUGCAAGUCGAACGGAAUUAAGGGGCUUGCUCCUUAAUUUAGUGGCGCACGGGUGAGUAACGCGUGGAUAAUCUGCCUGACGAUCUGGGAUAACAUCUCGAAAGGGGUGCUAAUACCGGAUAAGCCCACGGGGACUUCGGUUCUUGCGGGAAAAGGGGGGGACCUUCGGGCCUUCUGUCGUCAGAUGAGUCCGCGUACCAUUAGCUAGUUGGUAGGGUAAAGGCCUACCAAGGCUACGAUGGUUAGCUGGUUUGAGAGAAUGAUCAGCCACACUGGAACUGAGACACGGUCCAGACUCCUACGGGAGGCAGCAGUGGGGAAUUUUGCGCAAUGGGCGAAAGCCUGACGCAGCAACGCCGCGUGAGUGAUGAAGGCUUUCGGGUCGUAAAGCUCUGUCGAGGGGAAAGAAGUGUAUUGUGGCUAAUAUCCACGAUACUUGACGGUACCCCUAAAGGAAGCACCGGCUAACUCCGUGCCAGCAGCCGCGGUAAUACGGGGGGUGCAAGCGUUGUUCGGAAUUACUGGGCGUAAAGAGUGCGUAGGCGGUUAACUAAGUUUGGUGUGAAAUCUCCCGGCUUAACUGGGAGGGUGCGCCGAAAACUGGCUAGCUAGAGUGUGGGAGAGGAUAGUGGAAUUCCUGGUGUAGCGGUGAAAUGCGUAGAUAUCAGGAGGAACACCUGCGGUGUAGACGGCUAUCUGGACCAUGACUGACGCUGAGGCACGAAAGCGUGGGUAGCAAACAGGAUUAGAUACCCUGGUAGUCC